UACGUAGGGUGCAAGCGUUGUCCGGAAUUAUUGGGCGUAAAGGGCGCGUAGGCGGCCCGCUAAGUCGAACGUGAAAUCCCUGGACUCAACCCAGGAACUGCGUCCGAUACUGGCAGGCUUGAAUCCGGGAGAGGGAUGCGGAAUUCCAGGUGUAGCGGUGAAAUGCGUAGAUAUCUGGAGGAACACCGGUGGCGAAGGCGGCAUCCUGGACCGGCAUUGACGCUGAGGCGCGAAAGCUAGGGGAGCAAACGGG
Molecule: ribosomal RNA, 253 nt
Filed under: uncultured bacterium
Lineage: Bacteria
Description: partial 16S ribosomal RNA
Rfam family: Bacterial small subunit ribosomal RNA
Source: RNAcentral